AAGGCGAUGAUGCAUAGCCCGAGUUGAGAGACUGAUCGGGCCACAUUGGGACUGAGGACACGGGCCCAAACUCCUACGGGAGGCAGCAGUAGGGGGAAUCUUCCACAAUGGACGCAAAGUCUGAUGGAGCAAAACGCCGCGUGAGUGAAGAAGGGUUUCGGCUCGUAAAAGCUCUGUUGUUGGUGAAGAAGGACAGGGGUAGUAAACUGACCCUUUUGUUUGACGGUAAAUCAAUUUAGAAAGUCACGGGGCUAACUACGUGCCCAGCAGCCGCGGUAAAU
This 281-nucleotide ribosomal RNA is filed under the name uncultured Bacillota bacterium. RNAcentral's name for it is "uncultured Firmicutes bacterium partial 16S ribosomal RNA". It matches the Rfam family "Bacterial small subunit ribosomal RNA", at positions 270 to 525 of the family's 1533-position model. The record is from RNAcentral. Lineage: Bacteria; Bacillati; Bacillota.